ACGCUGGCGGCAGGCCUAACACAUGCAAGUCGAGCGGAUGAGAAGAGCUUGCUCUUCGAUUCAGCGGCGGACGGGUGAGUAAUACCUAGGAAUCUGCCUGGUAGUGGGGGACAACGUUUCGAAAGGAACGCUAAUACCGCAUACGUCCUACGGGAGAAAGCAGGGGACCUUCGGGCCUUGCGCUAUCAGAUGAGCCUAGGUCGGAUUAGCUAGUUGGUGAGGUAAUGGCUCACCAAGGCUACGAUCCGUAACUGGUCUGAGAGGAUGAUCAGUCACACUG
This 280-nucleotide ribosomal RNA is filed under the name Pseudomonas putida. Its description in RNAcentral is "partial 16S ribosomal RNA". It matches the Rfam family "Bacterial small subunit ribosomal RNA", at positions 33 to 315 of the family's 1533-position model. The record is from RNAcentral. Lineage: Bacteria; Pseudomonadati; Pseudomonadota; Gammaproteobacteria; Pseudomonadales; Pseudomonadaceae.